AUUGAACGCUGGCGGCAGGCCUAACACAUGCAAGUCGAACGAGUGGCGGACGGGUGAGUAAUGUCUGGGAAACUGCGUGAUGGAGGGGGAUAACUACUGGAAACGGUAGAUAAUACAGCAUACCAUCAGAUGUGCCCAGAUGGGAUUAGCUCGUGGGUGGGGUAAUGGCUCACCUAGGCGACGCUCCCUAGCUGGUCUGAGAGGAUGACCAGCCACACUGGAACUGAGACACGGUCCAGACUCCUACGGGAGGCAGCAGUGGGGAAUAUUGCACAAUGGGCGAAAGCCUGAUGCAGCCAUGCCGCGUGUAUGAAGAAGGCCUUCGGGUUGUAAAGUACUUUCAGCGGGGAGGCGUUACCCGCAGAAGAAGCACCGGCUAACUCCGUGCCAGCAGCCGCGGUAAUUC
This 406-nucleotide ribosomal RNA is filed under the name uncultured bacterium. Its description in RNAcentral is "partial 16S ribosomal RNA". It matches the Rfam family "Bacterial small subunit ribosomal RNA", at positions 30 to 526 of the family's 1533-position model. The record is from RNAcentral.